UCUUAGUGAUAAGACGUGCGAUAGAGCUGCAGGAGCUCGUAACGUGAGGGUCAGGUUCUGAGCGGCUGGUAGCUUUUGCCGCUCCAGUCUGGAAAUCUGGUCCCCGCCUGGUAACAGCGUGUGCCGUUCAGAUGACAGCAGCAUUCUCAUUGGGACCUUUUCCCUUGGAAGUUGAAGACUGGGACUGCGCCAAGAAUGAAGAAUCACAGUGCCGGGCCGCUAGUGUCUGUGCAGACCUCCCGGGAAUGUCACUUCGCUGCAGGGAUGGGGCAGACUUCCCAACAGCUUUAAAGAAAGAGCUUUACAAAACCUCUCCAGAUUUUUCUUUUCCUUCUAAAAUGUUGGCUGUGUUGAUUUUAAGGAACAGAAGUGGAGUCGGACAGUAUUAAAGCAAAAGUUUCUAGUGUGUGGUGCCCAGGAGUGGACUUCACCUAGAACUGUCACACUCAGAGCCAUCACCAGGGACCUGCUGCUGCUUCUCUAUAGUGAUUUUAAGGAGCGCUUUGCUUGUUUGAAAGGCUGUGAAACGAGCGGAGUGCCUAUUUUUUCAUGGUAAGAAUGAUGCUACUGCAGAUACUUUCUGCUGAUAAGAACCAUCACAAAGGUAACGAAUGAUCAAAGGUGAAUGUUAGCAGAGCCGCACGUGGAAGCCUGCUGUUUAUUCUUUUCUUUUGAGGCCCUGCAGCCCUCUUCUACAACUCUGGCAGAAGAGGACUUUGAUUUUCUUGCAAAUAAAUGUGCCCAGCUCCUUGGCUCCUGGUCCUUUAGCCACACAACCUCUAACUUCGCUUUGUGAGAUGACCUUGUUCCGUCACCCCUAAAGGCUUUGCCCCCAGUUUUCGCCCUGCCCCUUCAUUCGGACCUCGUCGCCUUCUCCAUGGCUCCCAGGAAACAUGCCCUUCUCUCUCAUGUUUCUUAUCACCCUGUCAUUCACCAGGCUUGCCGCUCCCUGGACCAUGGGAUCAUAUUUUCCUGAGCCAAACAUUCCUUAUAUAUAAGAAUUAAAAGAAACUUAAGGGAUUUUUCUAUCAAAUGCAACGUGUGGGCCUUAUUUGCUUAGAUCUUAAUUUAAACAAAGUAUAAAAAGGCAUUUUUUUGGGGGGGGAAGUGGAUGUGGCUCAGGCAACUGAGCUCCCACCUUCCACACAGGAGGUCCAGGUUUGGUUUCUGGUGCCUCCUAGAGAAAACAAGCAAGAUGGUGAGCUGGCACAGUGGGUGGGCAUGGCGAGCAGAUGCAACAUGAUGACGCAGCGAGAUGAAGCAAGCAAGAGACACGGCAAGGAAACACAAUGAGAGGCACA
RNAcentral lists this long non-coding RNA (1301 nucleotides) under Dasypus novemcinctus (nine-banded armadillo). RNAcentral's name for it is "lncRNA (ENSDNOG00000051727.1)". The record is from RNAcentral. Lineage: Eukaryota; Metazoa; Chordata; Mammalia; Cingulata; Dasypodidae.